GGCAACGAGGCUGCAGUGGUGGUGGUGGGACGAUGUCAGGUGAGGACGAGCAGCAGGAGCAAACUAUCGCCGAGGACCUGGUCAUGACCAAGUAUAAGAUGGGGGGUGACAUCGCCAACCGGGUACUUCGGCCUUUGGUGGAAGCAUCCUGCUCAGGUGUGUUGGCACUGAGCCUGUGUGAGAAAGGUGAUGCCAUGAUUAUAGAAGAGACAGGGAAAUUUUUCAAGAAAGAAAAAGAAAUGAAGAAAGUUAUUGCCUUUCCCACCAGCAUUUCAGUAAAUAAUUGUGUAUGUCACUUCUCCCCUUUGAAGAGCAACCAGGACUAUAUUCUCAAGGAAGGUGACUUGGUACAAAUUGACUUUGGGGUCCAUGUGGAUGGCUUCAUCGCUAAUGUGGCUCACGCUUUCAUGGUUGAUGUAGCUCAGGGGACCCAAGAAACAGGGCAGAAAGCAGAUGUCAUUAAGGCAGCUCACCUUUGUGCUGAAGCUGCCCUAUGCCUGGUCAAACCUGGAAACCAGAACACACAAGUGACAGAAGCCUGGAACAAAGUUUCCCACUCGUUUAAUUGCACACCAAUAGAAUGCAUGUUGUCACAUCAAUUGAAGCAGCAUGUCAUCGAUGGAGAGAAAACCAUUAUCCAGAAUCCCACAGACCAGCAGAAUAAGGGCCAUGAAAAAGCUGAAUUUGAAGUACAUGAAGUAUAUGCUGUGCAUGUUCUUAUCAGCUGAGGAGAGGGCAAGGCCAAGGAUGCAGGAGAGAGAACCACCAUUUACAAAUAAGACUCUUCUAAACAGUAUGUCCUGAAAACAAAAACUUCGCAUGCCUUCUUUAGUGAAGUUGAAAGGCGUUUUGAUGCCAUGCCAUUUAUUUUAAGAGCAUUUGAAGAUGAGAAGAAGGUCCAGAUGGGUGUGGUGGAGUGCACCAAACAUGAACUGCAGCAGCCAUUUAAUGUUCUCUAUGAGAAGGAGAGUGAAUUUGUUGCCCAGUUUAAAUUUACAGUCCUGCUCAUGCCCAAUGGCCCCACGUGGAUAACCAGUGGUCCCUUUGAACCUGACCUCUACAAGUCUGAGAUGGAGGUCCAGGAUGGAGAGCUGAAGGCCCUCCUCCAGAGUUCUGCAAGUCUGAAAACCCAGAAAAAGAAAAAAAAAGGAAGGCCUCCAAGACUGCAGAGAAUGCCACCAGUAGGGAAACAUUAGAAGAGAAUGAAGCUGGGGACUGAGGUAGGUCCCAUCUCCCCAGCUUGCUGCUCCUGCCUCAUGCCCCUCCCACCACACCCCAGGCUCUGUGAAGUGCAGUUCGUCUUCUCCACCCAAGACUGCCAACAGAGCAGGGUCUCCCUGCCCCCAUCCCUGUCCCCACCCAACCCCUUCCAACAACAACCAGCUCCAACUGACUCUGGUCUUGGGAGGCCAGGCUUCCUAGCCACUGAAGGCUACUUUAAAUAGAAAAGAGAAAUUGAAUAAUAAAAUCAGGAGUC
Odobenus rosmarus divergens (Pacific walrus) is the source of this 1477-nucleotide RNA transcript. It is a transcript of the gene named proliferation-associated protein 2G4-like, with no coding region annotated. NCBI's taxonomy places the organism in Eukaryota, Metazoa, Chordata, Mammalia, Carnivora, Odobenidae. The record is from RefSeq and is a predicted model, not a curated record. The transcript has a single exon.